This 253-nucleotide ribosomal RNA is filed under the name uncultured bacterium. RNAcentral describes it as "partial 16S ribosomal RNA". It matches the Rfam family "Bacterial small subunit ribosomal RNA", at positions 524 to 776 of the family's 1533-position model. The record is from RNAcentral.
UACGUAGGGGGCAAGCGUUGUCCGGAUUUAUUGGGCGUAAAGAGCGUGUAGGCGGCCAUACAGGUCAGCUGUGAAAACUCGAGGCUCAACCUCGAGACGUCGGUUGAAACCGUAUGGCUAGAGUCCGGAAGAGGAGAGUGGAAUUCCCGGUGUAGCGGUGAAAUGCGCAGAUAUCGGGAAGAACACCCGUGGCGAAGGCGGCUCUCUGGGACGGUACUGACACUGAGGCACGAAAGCGUGGGGAGCGAACGGG